RNAcentral lists this ribosomal RNA (534 nucleotides) under Bifidobacterium breve. RNAcentral's name for it is "bacterial SSU rRNA". It matches the Rfam family "Bacterial small subunit ribosomal RNA", at positions 163 to 706 of the family's 1533-position model. The record is from RNAcentral. Lineage: Bacteria; Bacillati; Actinomycetota; Actinomycetes; Bifidobacteriales; Bifidobacteriaceae.
GUAAUGCCGGAUGCUCCAGUUGAUCGCAUGGUGUUCUGGGAAAGCCUUUGCGGCAUGGGAUGGGGUCGCGUCCUAUCAGCUUGAUGGCGGGGUAACGGCCCACCAUGGCUUCGACGGGUAGCCGGCCUGAGAGGGCGACCGGCCACAUUGGGACUGAGAUACGGCCCAGACUCCUACGGGAGGCAGCAGUGGGGAAUAUUGCACAAUGGGCGCAAGCCUGAUGCAGCGACGCCGCGUGAGGGAUGGAGGCCUUCGGGUUGUAAACCUCUUUUGUUAGGGAGCAAGGCAUUUUGUGUUGAGUGUACCUUUCGAAUAAGCACCGGCUAACUACGUGCCAGCAGCCGCGGUAAUACGUAGGGUGCAAGCGUUAUCCGGAAUUAUUGGGCGUAAAGGGCUCGUAGGCGGUUCGUCGCGUCCGGUGUGAAAGUCCAUCGCUUAACGGUGGAUCCGCGCCGGGUACGGGCGGGCUUGAGUGCGGUAGGGGAGACUGGAAUUCCCGGUGUAACGGUGGAAUGUGUAGAUAUCGGGAAAGAA